RNAcentral lists this ribosomal RNA (521 nucleotides) under uncultured microorganism. Its description in RNAcentral is "bacterial SSU rRNA". It matches the Rfam family "Bacterial small subunit ribosomal RNA", at positions 9 to 524 of the family's 1533-position model. The record is from RNAcentral.
GAGUUUGAUCGUGGCUCAGGACGAACGCUGGCGGCGUGCCUAAUACAUGCAAGUCGAGCGAGGGUUUUCGGACCCUAGCGGCGGACGGGUGAGUAACACGUAGGCAACCUGCCUCUCAGACCGGGAUAACAUAGGGAAAUUUAUGCUAAUACCGGAUAGGUUUUUGGAUUGCAUGAUCCGAAAAGAAAAGAUGGCUUUUGGCUAUCACUGGGAGAUGGGCCUGCGGCGCAUUAGCUAGUUGGUGGGGUAACGGCCUACCAAGGCGACGAUGCGUAGCCGACCUGAGAGGGUGACCGGCCACACUGGGACUGAGACACGGCCAGACUCCUACGGGAGGCAGCAGUAGGGAAUUUUCCGCAAUGGACGAAAGUCUGAUGGAGCAACGCCGCGUGAACGAUGAAGGUCUUCGGAUUGUAAAGUUCUGUUGUCAGGGACGAACACGUACCGUUCGAAUAGGGCGGUACCUUGACGGUACCUGACGAGAAAGCCACGGCUAACUACGUGCCAGCCGCCGCCGUAAG